GAAGUGGAGAACCUGACCUCCGACGCCCCUGCUGCAGCCCUAGGGGCGCGUGGACUGCCGUGCGGCCGCCCUCCCUUCUGGCUCUUGGGGCCCAUUCUCCCUCCACUGGCCCCGGUCUGGGGUGUCGUUGUGGAUCUAGCUAGGAAGAAGCCCUCGGUUUGCACAUGAGUUCAUAUGUCCUGCUUCCCCAACCAGAAAUACCAGUUUGGAUCCCUGAUAGAUAUGUUCAUCUGCAUUGAGGAGAGGGUUCCUGCUUAAGUAAUCCUAUUUUACCCUUAAAUAUACAGUAUACCGAUGUGCACUCUUCAGCCAAGGGAAAAGUUUGGAACUGGUACUGCCUUGUCUUGAGGCCGUUAGAAAUGCGCUUCCCUCUCCCCCUACCACAUUGGUUUCCAGUUAAAUUUCUUUUAAAAAAAACACACACACACAAAAACCCCACAAAAAACAGUUGUUAGUGCAGUUCAACCUGUUUGUGUGUCUGAUUUCUUCCCUGGGUGGCCAAAAUCCCUCUUUCAGGUCACAACGGAGAGUUUGGGUCCGUUUGAAGCUCGGAGCUUUACGAGGAUAUUUGCUUUAAAAAACGGCCUGUGUUCUCUGUGAUUUGCAUGUCUCAAUCCCCUUCCCUGCUGGGUAGAAGUUCAGCUGCCCUUACAUUUUAAAUAAGCUAAAGCAAUGUAUUCCCAAAAUGCUUUGGGGCUGCCACCAAACAGAAUCGGGGAUAGUAACACUGUGGCUUUCACGCUAACAUUUAAAUCUUGACUUGAUAAGUGUAAAUAUUAAGAACAUUGGAGUUCUCCAAGGUCCCAGAAGAGCUUUGGCAAAAAGCUGAAGAUCAAAAAGAAUUUAUUUCGAGGCACAGUGUCACUCAAAUACGCAUUCUGGCAAAAGCUACAAAGAAAUUGGGAUGAGGGAUAUUUUGUAACUUAUAUAAGGACCCAGUUCCUGUCAAUCAAUCCCUCAAGUGCAGAAUAGGAAAGGACAGUUUAAAUAGGGAGGGAAAUUUAACUCUUACAUUUUUGGAGUUGGUUUUAAAGCCCCACUGUUCUCCUUCGGGCUGUUGUAUUACCCUGGUUAUAAUCACCAGCUGGUAGGGGAAAUAAAAUUGAAGUGUAAAUUGAUUUUGUUGUCAUUAGGGCUUGGGAGAAGACAUAUGUGACAAAAUUUAAAUAUAGAGGGCGCAGGCUGAAAAACCAUUGUAUGGUUAAAACAGGCACCGUUCUCUGCCAGCUUAGAAUGUUAGGAAUACCUUGCCAAUUGAACAGCUAGUCUUAACUCCAAAUUCUUUCAGGUCACCAUUUGGCAUUUACUUCUAUCCUAAGCCACAUUAGCAUAUGGAGCCUGGGCUCCAACCAGUGUUAAGCCUGUAUUACAGAGCUGUAAACAACUCCUGUUUUUCAAGUCUGUUCUGUCGGCCUUACUGUAACCUAACACAGUAUCUAUUUUAAGAUGUCUGGUGGUCGGUUGUCUUUCAGUCGCUUGCCCAUCAGGCAGGAAUGGAAUCCACCCUAGGCACUUGAGUCAUUUCCUUUUCACCAAAUCAUAAUAGUAUGGCUUUUGCCCACAAAUAGAUCAUCUUGGCUCCCUCAAAGUAACCCCACCUUUACCUCCCAGGAUUCUCCGCUGGCACUCAUCUUCCCUUCCUCCCUCUCCUUGUUCCGGUCUCCACCUCGCUCUUCUUAUUUACCUUCUCCAUUCUCACCCUUCACUUAAAAGGAAUAUAUAUAUAUAUUUAUGUUCCUGGCUAUUCUUUCCUGUCACUGUGUGUCCAAACCACUGAUCUCCAUACUUUUUUUUUUUUUUAUCAUGUAUCCCUCUUGAGUAAAAUGUUUUGAAACGUAAUCUUUGUGAUGUAUGUAAAACAUAAAAUAACUUCUGUACCCAAACUAAUGUUAUAAAUGCAUGUAUAUUGUGUAUGUGAUAGCUGUAAACAUCAGUUACAUACACAUGAAGUAAUACGUUCUGUGCCUGUUUAUAAUGUACAGAAUAGAAUUUAAAGAAGGAUACAAAUGAAAUGGAAAUUCUAA
Molecule: long non-coding RNA, 2024 nt
Organism: Pipistrellus kuhlii (Kuhl's pipistrelle)
Lineage: Eukaryota; Metazoa; Chordata; Mammalia; Chiroptera; Vespertilionidae
Exons: 2
Source: RefSeq, a predicted model, not a curated record